UACGUAGGGUGCAAGCGUUAAUCGGAAUUACUGGGCGUAAAGCGUGCGCAGGCGGUUAUGCAAGACAGAUGUGAAAUCCCCGGGCUCAACCUGGGAACUGCAUUUGUGACUGCAUGGCUAGAGUACGGUAGAGGGGGAUGGAAUUCCGCGUGUAGCAGUGAAAUGCGUAGAUAUGCGGAGGAACACCGAUGGCGAAGGCAAUCCCCUGGACCUGUACUGGCGCUCAUGCACGAAAGCGUGGGGAGCAAACAGG
RNAcentral lists this ribosomal RNA (253 nucleotides) under uncultured bacterium. RNAcentral describes it as "partial 16S ribosomal RNA". It matches the Rfam family "Bacterial small subunit ribosomal RNA", at positions 524 to 776 of the family's 1533-position model. The record is from RNAcentral.